This 235-nucleotide ribosomal RNA is filed under the name uncultured bacterium. RNAcentral's name for it is "partial 16S ribosomal RNA". It matches the Rfam family "Bacterial small subunit ribosomal RNA", at positions 99 to 334 of the family's 1533-position model. The record is from RNAcentral.
CGCGCGGGUGAGUAACACGUAUCCAACCUGUCGUCUACUCUUGGACAGCCUUCUGAAAGGAAGAUUAAUACAAGAUGGCAUCAUGAGUCCGCAUGUUCACAUGAUUAAAGGUAUUCCGGUAGACGAUGGGGAUGCGUUCCAUUAGAUAGUAGGCGGGGUAACGGCCCACCUAGUCUUCGAUGGAUAGGGGUUCUGAGAGGAAGGUCCCCCACAUUGGAACUGAGACACGGUCCAA